This 253-nucleotide ribosomal RNA is filed under the name uncultured bacterium. Its description in RNAcentral is "partial 16S ribosomal RNA". It matches the Rfam family "Bacterial small subunit ribosomal RNA", at positions 524 to 776 of the family's 1533-position model. The record is from RNAcentral.
UACAGAGUGGGCAAGCGUUGUUCGGAAUUACUGGGCGUAAAGCGUGCGUAGGUGGUUUCUUAAGUCUGCUGUGAAAGCCCUGGGCUCAACCUGGGAAUGGCGGUGGAUACUGAGGAGCUAGAGUGCGGUAGAGGAGGGUGGAAUUCCCGGUGUAGCGGUGAAAUGCGUAGAGAUCGGGAGGAACAUCAGUGGCGAAGGCGGCCCUCUGGACCAGCACUGACGCUGAGGCACGAAAGCGUGGGGAGCAAACAGG